UUCUGCCCAUGACAGAAGGGCCCACACUGGAGUAGUUAGGGAAGGGCUGCAACCCAGCAGAACCAUCCAAGCUGGCAAGAGGAACAGAAGGGGAGUGAGAGCAGCUUGGUGGGUUCUUGCAGCUAGCCAAAGUUAACCCACCACAGAAAAUAUACCUGAGUAGAUGAGCUUUUCUUCAUCAGUGAGAACAUGCAUUUUAAAACAUCAAGAAAUUGGUUACUUUGCCAAAAGGGAGGCCUAAUGCAAUGACUUCUGAUCCAGUAGCACCACUUGGAAUUUGACGAAUAUGAAGAACACGUGAAGGGAAA
Empidonax traillii (willow flycatcher) is the source of this 308-nucleotide long non-coding RNA. RefSeq lists it as uncharacterized. Lineage: Eukaryota; Metazoa; Chordata; Aves; Passeriformes; Tyrannidae. The record is from RefSeq and is a predicted model, not a curated record. The transcript has 3 exons.